RNAcentral lists this long non-coding RNA (2056 nucleotides) under Anthonomus grandis grandis. RNAcentral's name for it is "uncharacterized LOC126737357". The record is from RNAcentral. Lineage: Eukaryota; Metazoa; Arthropoda; Insecta; Coleoptera; Curculionidae.
UCCAGUUCAGAGAUCUAUUAGAAUCUUUGAUGUGUCGCAGAUGCCGCACUAACUAGUCCGUGCGCCUAUGUCAUAUUUAUUGUUGCAUGAUAUAUAUGUUUAAAUGGCAAAAUUUUAUAUUGUCUAUCUAUGAAAUCAUUUUAAAUAUACGUAAAACCCCAUGUUUUAUACUAUUUUUUAUUUUUCUUUCGAAAAUGUCAAUUUUUAGAAAGAAAAUAAUAUCACAAGAAAAUAAUAUCAAAAAAUUGACCGCGGACUAAAAUCCAAGCAUCGAACAAAAUAUUUUAAACACUUCCAGCACUCACAGACUUGUCACCUCUUUUUAGCCAGUCUAUUAAACAAAGAUAAAACACCUGCGUUUUGACAAUUCCUACUUUAGGCUGUGCAAGUGAUUGUGUAUCUCUCUCUAUCCCACUGAAUUUAAGAAUUACGGGGCCGUACCCAAAUAAAUUUUUGGACCGUUUUUGUAUUAUUUUCGUCGUGUUUUUAAAGAGAUCUUUACGGAUGGGUCUAUCGCCUUUAAAAUAUGUUGGAUGGGUCUAUCACCUUUAAUAGUUGGGAGGGGGGCCAUGUGAUAUUAUUUGAUGUGUUUUGCCGGUUAUGCUUUUUACACGUUUAUGAAAGUAAAGAAUUUAGAAUUUGGCCUGUAUUCCUGUAAAUUUUUUGCAGUUUUUACUGUGAGGAACAGUGUUUUUUUAUUUGUGUUUGUGGAUUUGUUUUGGUAUUAUACCUAAAGACCUUAAAAUGUUUCGACCCUGGAAAAAUAGGCAGGAAAAUUUGGCAAAUGAAGAGGAAAGUGUUUGUGCGGGCUUAUGGAGACCGUGGGUGUACAAGAAAGACAAUAACAUUUGUGAUAAAAACAAUAAGAGUUAUCUGGGCAGUGAUUUAGACUUACAUAGUUCUGAUAGUUCAUUCUAGUAUUGAGGAAGCAAAAAGAAGCAAGGGAAGUAGAAGCUACAGAAGAAAUCAAGCAGUUUUAAAAGAACAAAUUUAUCUAAAUAUCUAUAACAAUCUAAGGAAUGAUACUCAGUUCACAAAUGAUUGUAGUGCUUUGCAAGAAAUAGCGUUUUUAACAGGGGUUCCCUAUAGUACAAUAUGCCUGUAAAAAAAAGGAUUAAAGACAGAAUAAAAAGGAAACAUGCAAGACAAUCAAAGGGACUUGACAUGGAUAUUGCCAAAUUGCUAAGGAAAGGUGUGUAUUCUAAAUACAAAAACAAUGAGGUUCUGACCAUAGAGACACCUUAUCGGCAAGAGACAAACAUUUCUCAGUCUCAACCUUGCAGAGAUACCUGAUAAAACUUGGAUUUAAGCUUAAGAUGGUUAACAAAAGAGCUGCUGUAAUGGAAUUGUCAGGUGGUGUAUAGAAUAUUUGAGGAAAAUUAAAAAAAUUUGGGAGGAAGAAAGAUCCAUAUAUUAUUUAGCCGAAACAUGAUAUGAUACAUUUAUGAUUGAUGUAUGAUUUCCAUUCUCUGGGAAAAAGUCCCUUUUUUGCCAUACUUACUGCCCCUGUUGUCCUUCAGUGAUACAAUAAAGACUGCUUCUUCCACCAUUCUCUGGGAAAAACCCUUUUUUGCUAUGCUUACUACCCCUGUUGUCCUUCAGCAACACAAUGAAGACUGCUUCUUCCUCCAUUCUCUGGAAAAAAGUCCCUUUUUUGCCAUACUUACUGCCCCUGUUUGUCCUUCAGCGACACAAUAAAGUAUAUAUAAUGUAAUGCUUUAGAAUCCAUAUGCUGAUGUGCGAGAUGAAGUUGGAAUCCAUGCCGGCAACAGAGAAACUGUUUCCUUCCUUAAUGGAAGAAACUUCUAAAGAACAAUGGCAAAAAAACAGAAUUUACAAAAUUUGUAUUAACUUUUUGGGCCAGAUUCAAAAGAGUGGUUAAAUUUAUAAAAGUAUUUAGUAUCCUCACUGUAGUUUUAGGAUCCAGUAUACUUAAAAUGUAGUGUUUUGUAUAAGAUUUUUAGUUUUUAGUAUAAGCAUUUAUUUUUGUUAAUUUUUAUCUAAUCUCUCCUAAUAUGCAUAAUAACUAAAUACGAGGCAAACAAAUUAAUAAAUA